CGCCUUUAAGCAUAAACUGGAACAGUGAUGCGCCAUUUUUGCCAGCCGAUCCGGAAAAGAAGGAGACCGGCCAACACGGCGAGGGUGUGGCCUGUGGGCUGUGCUGAGUGCAGGCGGGCGGCCCCCGAGGAUGGCGAUCCCCUGAGAUGCAGCAAACGCAGGGCCCGCCUUUGUCGGCUGCUGGCUUUCUGCACAGAGGUGUGGCCACAUCAUCAUUUCUAGCAGCAAAAAAUCAACCUCAUCCUAACGACCCGCCUCGGGGAACAGUUAAGGAACAAGGAUCCAGAGCUGAUGGACUAUAAGCAAGAAGGAAAAUAAAGCUCACAGUGACUCCAUUAAAACACGAGAAAACGCACAAUAUGCUGUGAAGUGACAGCAAGCACACCAUUUUCUACCCUGUGAGGAUUUCCACGCCCAUAAACACAAGCAUAUGUGCGUAGAUAUAACAUCCUCUCCACAUUCACUGGAAGAAUGUGCAACAGAACGCUACAGUUAAUAGGAACCAGAUGCAAACCUUCAGGCAAGCACUCAUUGUCCAGUGGUCUGGUUCCCAUUUACGCAUUUGCUCGCUGAGCUAGAGAUCGAUCAGCACCAGCCGCGUCCCAGGCGGGAGAAGGUAGCAUCGGCGGAGGUCGCGUCCCCUUUGGAGACUUGGCCCCGUGGCUGCUCUCGGCGGUGAAGCCUCUGUGAGGGAAGUUUUUACCUUUUCAGCACCCGCAGCAGAUAAAGAUGGGCAAACAGGGAUUGAAAAUCAAAACUAAAACUUCUAUGUCCACCCUCACCCACUCCACAGAAAUAAAAAAUGCAAGGAUGUGUGGUUCCAACUCCAUGACAUCCUGGCAAGGGCACAACGAUGGAGACAGGAGAAAGAUCAGUGGUUGCCAGGGGAGGGCGAAGGAGGGACGAGUGGGCGGAGCACAGAGGGUUUUAGGGCUGUGAAACAGCUCUGUCUGAGACAUGUCAUGACACAUGAGGAUGGACACAUGUCGCUAUACAUUUGUCAAAACCGAC
This 1011-nucleotide long non-coding RNA is filed under the name Equus caballus (horse). Its description in RNAcentral is "lncRNA (ENSECAG00000046460.1)". Lineage: Eukaryota; Metazoa; Chordata; Mammalia; Perissodactyla; Equidae. The record is from RNAcentral.